GACAGAGGUCCCGAGCGUUAGGCGGAAUCACUGGGCUUAAAGCGUGUGUAGGCGGACUUCUAAGUGCCUUGUGAAAUCCCUCGGCUUAACCGGGGAACUGCGUCCGAUACUGGUUGGCUUGAGUUUGGGAGAGGGAUGCGGAAUUCCAGGUGUAGCGGUGAAAUGCGUAGAUAUCUGGAGGAACACCGGUGGCGAAGGCGGCAUCCUGGACCAAUACUGACGCUGAGGAGCGAAAGCCAGGGGAGCAAACGGG
RNAcentral lists this ribosomal RNA (253 nucleotides) under uncultured bacterium. Its description in RNAcentral is "partial 16S ribosomal RNA". It matches the Rfam family "Bacterial small subunit ribosomal RNA", at positions 524 to 776 of the family's 1533-position model. The record is from RNAcentral.